AGUAAUGCGUGACCAACCUGCCCAUGCUCCAGAAUAGCUCUUGGAAACGGGUGGUAAUGCUGGAUGCUCCAACUUGACGCAUGUCUUGUUGGGAAAGUGUUUAGUGGCAUGGGAUGGGGUCGCGUCCUAUCAGCUUGUAGGCGGGGUAAUGGCCCACCUAGGCUUCGACGGGUAGCCGGCCUGAGAGGGCGGACGGCCACAUUGGGACUGAGAUACGGCCCAGACUCCUACGGGAGGCAGCAGAC
This 245-nucleotide ribosomal RNA is filed under the name uncultured Gardnerella sp. Its description in RNAcentral is "partial 16S ribosomal RNA". It matches the Rfam family "Bacterial small subunit ribosomal RNA", at positions 109 to 354 of the family's 1533-position model. Lineage: Bacteria; Bacillati; Actinomycetota; Actinomycetes; Bifidobacteriales; Bifidobacteriaceae. The record is from RNAcentral.